CUGCAAAAGUGUGCAUUAACUACCUCAGAUAUACUGCACAGUUCAAAUCUAUUUUUACCUUUAGGGGCGGUUCCUAGAUUUUAAAAGGGGCGUUAUUCUAUCAAAUUUAAAAAAAUAUAUCACCGAGCGUAGCGAGACUAAAAACAAUAUUGACGAUUUUAAGGCAAAACACGAUAAUUUGUCCAAUCCUAGGGUGAACGACAUGUUCGUCCCCACCCCCGAAUCCGCCAUCUGCCUUGAAAUUACGACAAAACUGAACUUUGUACAAACAUCGUAGUUUCAGAAUAGGAAAAAAAAAGGUUUCUCAUUCCUUUUUUUCAUCUUAGCUUGAACAUAAAAUGUUUCAGUAUUAUAUUUUGCGUACAACAUAAAUCUUAAAUCAGUGUUUUAAAGUCAGAAAGAAAGUUAAAACAAUUUUUGAUAACUUCCGCCAAAAAAGAAAUGUAUCUAAGAAUAUCCGAAUAAAAGAAAUCUGAUUUGGACUAGUUUUAGAUUCAAUGGAAUUUAUAACGACUUCUUGAAUAUCUAUUCCCCAUAUUUUUGGAUCGAAUUUAAAGGGGGUCAUAUUUAAGU
This 573-nucleotide long non-coding RNA is filed under the name Mytilus galloprovincialis (Mediterranean mussel). Lineage: Eukaryota; Metazoa; Mollusca; Bivalvia; Mytilida; Mytilidae. The record is from RNAcentral.